GACGAACGCUGGCGGCGUGCCUAAUACAUGCAAGUAGAACGCUGAAGAGAGGAGCUUGCUCUUCUUGGAUGAGUUGCGAACGGGUGAGUAACGCGUAGGUAACCUGCCUUGUAGCGGGGGAUAACUAUUGGAAACGAUAGCUAAUACCGCAUAACAAUGGAUGACACAUGUCAUUUAUUUGAAAGGGGCAAUUGCUCCACUACAAGAUGGACCUGCGUUGUAUUAGCUAGUAGGUGAGGUAAUGGCUCACCUAGGCGACGAUACAUAGCCGACCUGAGAGGGUGAUCGGCCACACUGGGACUGAGACACGGCCCAGACUCCUACGGGAGGCAGCAGUAGGGAAUCUUCGGCAAUGGGGGCAACCCUGACCGAGCAACGCCGCGUGAGUGGAGAAGGUUUUCGGAUCGUAAAGCUCUGUUGUAAGUCAAGAACGGGUGUGAGAGUGGAAAGUUCACACUGUGACGGUAGCUGACCAGAAAGGGACGGCUAACUACGUG
RNAcentral lists this ribosomal RNA (497 nucleotides) under uncultured bacterium. RNAcentral's name for it is "partial 16S ribosomal RNA". It matches the Rfam family "Bacterial small subunit ribosomal RNA", at positions 28 to 507 of the family's 1533-position model. The record is from RNAcentral.